This 485-nucleotide ribosomal RNA is filed under the name uncultured bacterium. Its description in RNAcentral is "partial 16S ribosomal RNA". It matches the Rfam family "Bacterial small subunit ribosomal RNA", at positions 39 to 507 of the family's 1533-position model. The record is from RNAcentral.
AGGGAAAGCGAGAGGGAGGUUGUACACAUGCAAGUCGAACGGCAGCGCGGACUUCGGUCUGGCGGCGAGUGGCGAACGGGUGAGUAAUGUAUCGGAACGUGCCCAGUAGCGGGGGAUAACUACGCGAAAGCGUAGCUAAUACCGCAUACGCCCUACGGGGGAAAGCCGGGGAUCGUAAGACCUUGCACUAUUGGAGCGGCCGAUAUCGGAUUAGCUAGUUGGUGAGGUAACGGCUCACCAAGGCGACGAUCCGUAGCUGGUUUGAGAGGACGACAGGCCACAUGGGGACGGAGACAAGGCAAAAACUCCCACGGGAGGCAGCAGUAGGGAAUCUGGGGCAAUGGACGAAAGUCUGAACGAGAAACGACGCGGGAGUGAAGAAGGGUUUCGGAUAGAAAAAAGCGGUGGGUAGAGAAGAACGUUGGUGAGAGUGGAAAGCUCAUAAAGUGAGGGUGACUACCCAGAAAGGGACGGCUAGCUACAUG